UAUAGUCCUGAGAGUUGAACACUGGAUGACUGACAGCUGUCCUUCAUGACAACAGAAGACACAGAAAUCCUCCUCAUCAAAAACAUGACUUUGAUCUCCGUCCUCAUCUGGACUCUCCUCUGCUGCUGCUUCACAGAGUCCAGAGGCCAGGUCACAGUGACUCAGUCUGGAGCAGUGAGCUCUGCUCUGGGACGCUCCGCCACCAUCACAUGUAGGAUCAGUCAGAAUGUCUAUACUUGGAGCAGCUACCAUGCUUUGGCCUGGUACCAACAGAGAGAUGGAGAAACGCCUAAACUGCUCAUUUAUGCUGCUACCACUCGAGCAUCAGGGAUUCCAGGUCGUUUUACAGGCAGUGGAUCAAACUCUGACUUCACUCUGACCAUCAGUGGAGUCCAGACUGAAGAUGCAGCAGUUUACUACUGUCAGAGUGCUCAUUACAUCAACAGUCAGUGGUUGUUCACACAGUGAAAAAGCGUCGUACAAAAACCUCCCUCAGUCAGACUGAACAGAAACUGAACUGACUGCUGCAGCUGGAAGCUUCUGCAGAGACUGAUAC
Molecule: non-coding RNA, 556 nt
Organism: Dicentrarchus labrax (European seabass)
Lineage: Eukaryota; Metazoa; Chordata; Actinopteri; Moronidae
Source: the annotation of a RefSeq genome assembly